CCACAUGGCUGGCAGAGCUCCUGAGUUUGAGUUUGGCUGCAGGCACCGACUUUGGGAUGACCAUAGCAUUACUAAGAGAUUCCCUCACCCUCCUCUUCUCCUCCUCCUCACACUCCCAUGGGAUGGAGGGCCAUGCCGGAAUUCUGGGCUGGAGAGCACAGGGAAGGGCCCAGCACCGGCUGUGGGGCUCCCAUUUUAUGUAUACAUAGAAGGAGCCUUGAAACCACAGCCUGCAGCUCAGGGAAGGAGCAUGGCAAAGGACAGGAGGUGACACAGGAUUCACCGUGUGACAAAACAGCACGGCUGUCCUUGCUUCAUUCUGGAGGACACAGCCUUGGAAUACAGCGAGGGGAGGACCACACAGAUGAACAGCCAAAAUUCAGCUCCUCCAAUGUGCUUCCAGAAGAGCCUGAGAAACUUGAAACAAUAAAGAAAAACAGCAGGAAAAAACACCCACAAAGUUGGAGAUCCCCAGAAUGGCAGGACAGUAAAAUGUUUCUAAGCUGACCAAACCUCUGCAGUUGUGAUGGUUUCUGCAUUAUUCUGCCAAAAGGACAAGAAUAAUCUGUUUCCCUUAACAGCCCCACCAGCCCAAGGACUCCUUCUCUGAAGGGACACUCAAGUGUGGUGUGCUGAGGGAAGGGGCUUUGCCAGCUCUUGCCCUUUCAGGAGUAAAACAGGUGUCCUAUAAACACUGAGCCAGGGAUGGGAGAUGCAAGGACCCAACAGGUUUGUAACUCCCCAAUCUCCACCAUUUGUCAAGGAUGGGCACCCAUAGGAAAUGCUGUCACAGACAUCUUUUUAUGAAAAUCCUUUCUUAGGAUUUUUUCCCUUCUGAGAAGCUGAGAGGCCUCAGAGACAAAAUGUAAACAUUGAUUAUCUGCUGCUGUGGAAUGCAACAGGUGCAUCUGUGAUUGGUCUCGUGGAUGUUUGGAAUUAGUGACCAUUCAUAGCAGAGCUGCCUCUCUCUCUGUCCGAGCCACAGACCUUUGUUUUCAUUCUUUUCCAUUCUAUUCUAUUCUAUUCUAUUCUAUUCUAUUCUAUUCUAUUCUAUUCUAUUCUAUUCUAUUCUAUUCUAUUCUAUUCUAUUCUUAGCUAGCCUCCUGAGAUGAAACUUUUCCUUCUAUUCUUU
RNAcentral lists this long non-coding RNA (1132 nucleotides) under Zonotrichia albicollis (white-throated sparrow). RNAcentral describes it as "lncRNA (ENSZALG00000006481.1)". The record is from RNAcentral. Lineage: Eukaryota; Metazoa; Chordata; Aves; Passeriformes; Passerellidae.